UGGUGGACUUUCGGCAGCGGCACCAGACUGGAUGUUGGCAGCAUCACUCGUCCUAAAGUGAGCGUCCUGCCGCCCUCCAGUGAAGAGAUUUCCACAAAGAACACAGCAACACUGAUGUGUGUGGCCAACAAGGGCUUCCCCUCAGACUGGAGCCUGAGCUGGAAGGUGGACGGGAGCAGCAGGUCUGAGAAGAGCAGUGCUGGGGUCCUGGAGAAGGACGGUCUGUACAGCUGGAGCAGCAGUCUGACUCUCUCUCAGGAGGAGUGGAUGAAGGCGGUCACAGUGAGCUGUGAGGCCAAACAGAAAGACCAGCUGUCAGUCACUGGAGAAGUGAGGAGAGAUCAGUGUUCUGAGUAGAUCCUCUGGAUUCUCUUCUGCUCUUCUCACUCAUGUCUCACAUGGAGACUAACAGUGGCCUUCUAUUCAUACAAGUAUAUGUGUGCUUUUGUCUUUCAGUGCUCAUUCUCUCUUG
Molecule: non-coding RNA, 472 nt
Organism: Myxocyprinus asiaticus (Chinese sucker)
Lineage: Eukaryota; Metazoa; Chordata; Actinopteri; Cypriniformes; Catostomidae
Source: the annotation of a RefSeq genome assembly